UAAGUACUCCCUCCGUCCGAAAAUACUUGUCAUCAAAAUGGAUAAAAGGGGAUGUAUCUAGACGUAUUUUAGUUCUAGAUACAUCUUAUUUUUAUCCAUUUUGAUGACAAGUAUUUUCGGACGGAGGGAGUAUAUA
Molecule: non-coding RNA, 136 nt
Organism: Triticum aestivum (bread wheat)
Lineage: Eukaryota; Viridiplantae; Streptophyta; Magnoliopsida; Poales; Poaceae
Source: Rfam